This 237-nucleotide ribosomal RNA is filed under the name uncultured bacterium. RNAcentral's name for it is "partial 16S ribosomal RNA". It matches the Rfam family "Bacterial small subunit ribosomal RNA", at positions 1268 to 1500 of the family's 1533-position model. The record is from RNAcentral.
CGGAUCUCUUAAAGCUGUUCUCAGUUCGGACUGCAGUCUGCAACUCGACUGCACGAAGCUGGAAUCGCUAGUAAUCGCGGAUCAGCACGCCGCGGUGAAUACGUUCCCGGGCCUUGUACACACCGCCCGUCACACCAUGGAAGUCUGCAAUGCCCGAAGCCGGUGGCCUAACCACUUAUGUGGAAGGAGCCGUCUAAGGCAGGGCAGAUGACUGGGGUGAAGUCGUAACAAGGUAAC